UACGUAGGGGGCAAGCGUUGUCCGGAAUUAUUGGGCGUAAAGAGCGCGUAGGCGGUCCGAUAAGUCGGCUGUGAAAGUCAGGGGCUCAACCCUUGAAAGCCGGCCGAUACUGUCGGACUAGAGUCCGGAAGAGGCAAGUGGAAUUCCCGGUGUAGCGGUGAAAUGCGCAGAUAUCGAGAGGAACACCUGCGGCGAAGGCGGGUCUCUGGGCAGUAACUGACGCUGAGGAGCGAAAGCGUGGGGAGCGAACAGG
This 253-nucleotide ribosomal RNA is filed under the name uncultured bacterium. Its description in RNAcentral is "partial 16S ribosomal RNA". It matches the Rfam family "Bacterial small subunit ribosomal RNA", at positions 524 to 776 of the family's 1533-position model. The record is from RNAcentral.